UGAUCCUGGCUCAGGACGAACGCUGGCGGCGUGCCUAAUACAUGCAAGUCGAGCGGACAGAUGGGAGCUUGCUCCCUGAUGUUAGCGGCGGACGGGUGAGUAACACGUGGGUAACCUGCCUGUAAGACUGGGAUAACUCCGGGAAACCGGGGCUAAUACCGGAUGGUUGUCUUGAACCGCAUGGUUCAGACAUAAAAGGUGGCUUCGGCUACCACUUACAGAUGGACCCGCGGCGCAUUAGCUAGUUGGUGAGGUAACGGCUCACCAAGGCGACGAUGCGUAGCCGACCUGAGAGGGUGAUCGGCCACACUGGGACUGAGACACGGCCCAGACUCCUACGGGAGGCAGCAGUAGGGAAUCUUCCGCAAUGGACGAAAGUCUGACGGAGCAACGCCGCGUGAGUGAUGAAGGUUUUCGGAUCGUAAAGCUCUGUUGUUAGGGAAGAACAAGUGCCGUUCAAAUAGGGCGGCACCUUGACGGUACCUAACCAGAAAGCCACGGCUAACUACGUGCCAGCAGCCGCGGUAAUACGUAGGUGGCAAG
RNAcentral lists this ribosomal RNA (543 nucleotides) under Bacillus sp. LBBMA TR19. Its description in RNAcentral is "bacterial SSU rRNA". It matches the Rfam family "Bacterial small subunit ribosomal RNA", at positions 14 to 538 of the family's 1533-position model. The record is from RNAcentral. Lineage: Bacteria; Bacillati; Bacillota; Bacilli; Caryophanales; Bacillaceae.